This 465-nucleotide unclassified non-coding RNA is filed under the name uncultured Powellomyces. RNAcentral describes it as "sequence contains ITS2". The stretch from base 1 to 154 matches the Rfam family "5.8S ribosomal RNA". The record is from RNAcentral. Lineage: Eukaryota; Fungi; Chytridiomycota; Chytridiomycetes; Spizellomycetales; Powellomycetaceae.
AACUUUUGACAAUGGAUCUCUUGGCUCUCGCAACGAUGAAGAACGCAGCGAAAUGCGAUAAUUAGUGUGAAUUGCAGAAUUCAGUGAAUCAUCGAAUCUUUGAACGCACAUUGUGCUUCCUGGUAUUCCGGGGAGCAUGCUCGUUUCAGAAUCAUUAGAACUUUCAAUUGUGUUUUUUGCUGCCUCGGCACAAUAAACAUUGAUUGGAUGUGAUCGUUUUCUUUGUUAACUUUUUGUUGACAAUCGCUUUAAAAUGAUUGUGUGUGUCUGCAGCCUUUGCUUCAGAUGACUCUCAGUGCAGCAAUAAAAUGAAUCACUUUGAUGUUAUAGGUAGCUUUGGACAAUCUGACGCAUCUUCCCAACCACAAAACCAGUGCACGCUUCAGCGCGCAGUGUUUUUGAUAACUUGGUCUGAAAUCGAGCAAGAAAACCCGCUGAACUUAAGCAUAUCAAUAAGCGGAGGAU